GCCUAACACAUGCAAGUCGAGCGAGAAUCGUUUAUUGAAGGCUUCGGCUGGAAAUAGAUGAGGAAAGCGGCGAACGGGUGAGUAACGCGUGGGCAACCUGGCCUUAAGAAAAGGAUAGCCCCCGGAAACGGGGAGUAAUACUUUAUGAGAAUGAGAGAGGGCAUCCUACUUUCAUUCAAAGCGCAAGCGCUUAAGGAUGGGCCCGCGUAUCAUUAGCUAGUUGGUGAGAUAACAGCCCACCAAGGCAACGAUGAUUAGCCGGUCUGAGAGGGCGAACGGCCAAAUUGGAACGGAGGGACGGUCCGAACUCCUACGGGAGGCAGCAGCGGGGAAUAUUGCGCAAUGGAGAAGAACUCUGACGCAGCAAUACCGCGUGAGCGAAGAAGGUCUUCGGAUCGUAAAGCUCUGUUAUCAGGGAAGAAGAAAAUGACGGUACCUGAUGAGCAAGUCCCGGCUAACUACGUGCCAGCCGCCGCUGUAA
This 481-nucleotide ribosomal RNA is filed under the name uncultured bacterium. RNAcentral's name for it is "partial 16S ribosomal RNA". It matches the Rfam family "Bacterial small subunit ribosomal RNA", at positions 46 to 523 of the family's 1533-position model. The record is from RNAcentral.